This 76-nucleotide transfer RNA is filed under the name Panthera onca (jaguar). RNAcentral's name for it is "tRNA-Asn". Lineage: Eukaryota; Metazoa; Chordata; Mammalia; Carnivora; Felidae. The record is from RNAcentral.
UAGAUUGAAGCCAGUGGACUAGGAGGGUAUUUAGCUGUUAACUAAAAUUUCGUGGGGUUGGGGCCCACCAAUCUAG